Molecule: ribosomal RNA, 512 nt
Filed under: uncultured bacterium
Lineage: Bacteria
Description: partial 16S ribosomal RNA
Source: RNAcentral
GGAGUUAGCCGGUGCUUCUUCUGCGAGUAACGUCACAGAUGUAAGGUAUUAACUUACACCCUUUCCUCCUCGCUGAAAGUGCUUUACAACCCGAAGGCCUUCUUCACACACGCGGCAUGGCUGCAUCAGGGUUUCCCCCAUUGUGCAAUAUUCCCCACUGCUGCCUCCCGUAGGAGUCUGGGCCGUGUCUCAGUCCCAGUGUGGCUGAUCAUCCUCUCAGACCAGCUAGGGAUCGUCGCCUAGGUGAGCCUUUACCUCACCUACUAGCUAAUCCCACCUGGGCUUAUCCAUCAGCGCAAGGCCCGAAGGUCCCCUGCUUUCCCCCGUAGGGCGUAUGCGGUAUUAGCAGUCGUUUCCAACUGUUAUCCCCCACAAAUGGGCAAAUUCCCAGGCAUUACUCACCCGUCCGCCGCUCGUCAUCUUCAAAAGCAAGCUUUUAGAAAUGUUACCGCUCGACUUGCAUGUGUUAGGCCUGCCGCCAGCGUUCAAUCUGAGCCAGAAUCAAACUCUGA